CCUACGGGAGGCUGCAGUGAGGAAUAUUGGUCAAUGGCCGGAAGGCUGAACCAGCCAUGCCGCGUGAAGGUCAGUGCCCUAUGGGCGUUAAACUUCUUUUGUGCGGGAGCAAUAAUGGUCACGUGUGGCCAGACGACAGUACCGUACUAAUAAGCAUCGGCUAACACCGUGCAAGCAGCCGCGGUAAUACGGGGGAUGCAAGCGUUAUCCGGAUUUAUUGGGUUUAAAGGGUGCGUAGGCGGGGAGGUAAGUCAGCGGUGAAAUGCCCCCGCGCAACGGGGUGAAGUGCCAUUGAUACUGCCUUGCUGGAAUGCGGAUGCCGUGGGAGGAAUGUGUGGUGUAGCGGUGAAAUGCAUAGAUAUCACACAGAACACCGAUUGCGAAGGCAUCUCACGAAUCCGCGAUUGACGCUGAUGCACGAAAGCGUGGGUAUCAAACAGGAUUAGAUACCCCGGUAGUC
RNAcentral lists this ribosomal RNA (460 nucleotides) under uncultured bacterium. RNAcentral describes it as "partial 16S ribosomal RNA". It matches the Rfam family "Bacterial small subunit ribosomal RNA", at positions 338 to 795 of the family's 1533-position model. The record is from RNAcentral.